UUCCGACCUGCACGAAUGGCGUAACGAUGGCCACACUGUCUCCACCCGAGACUCAGUGAAAUUGAAAUCGCUGUGAAGAUGCAGUGUACCCGCGGCUAGACGGAAAGACCCCGUGAACCUUUACUAUAGCUUUGCACUGGACUUUGAAUAUGUUUGUGUAGGAUAGGUGGGAGGCUUUGAAGCGGCAACGCCAGUUGUCGUGGAGCCAUCCUUGAAAUACCACCCUGGCAUGUUUGAGGUUCUAACCUAGGCCCGUUAUCCGGGUCGGGGACAGUGUAUGGUGGGUAGUUUGACUGGGGCGGUCUCCUCCUAAAGAGUAACGGAGGAGCGCGAAGGUACCCUCAGCACGGUCGGACAUCGUGCAAUGAGCGCAAAGGUAUAAGGGUGCUUGACUGCGAGACAGACAUGUCGAGCAGGAACGAAAGUUGGUCUUAGUGAUCCGGUGGCACUUCGUGGAAGGGCCAUCGCUCAACGGAUAAAAGGUACUCCGGGGAUAACAGGCUGAUUCCUCCCAAGAGUUCAUAUCGACGGGGGAGUUUGGCACCUCGAUGUCGGCUCAUCACAUCCUGGGGCUGUAGUCGGUCCCAAGGGUAUGGCUGUUCGCCAUUUAAAGUGGUACGCGAGCUGGGUUUAGAACGUCGUGAGACAGUUCGGUCCCUAUCUGCCGUGGGCGUUUGAGAUUUGAGUGGAGCUGCUCCUAGUACGAGAGGACCGGAGUGGACGUAUCUCUGGUGUUCCGGUUGUCACGCCAGUGGCACUGCCGGGUAGCUAAAUACGGACGGGAUAACCGCUGAAAGCAUCUAAGCGGGAAGCCCCCCACAAGAUUAGAUCUCACUAGAGCUUUUAGCUCUCUUAAGGGCCGUCGGAGACUACGACGUUGAUAGGCUGGGUGUGGAAGUUCAGUAAUGGAUGAAGCUAACCAGUACUAAUUGCCCGUGAGGCUUGAUCAU
Molecule: ribosomal RNA, 950 nt
Filed under: Gammaproteobacteria bacterium
Lineage: Bacteria; Pseudomonadati; Pseudomonadota; Gammaproteobacteria
Description: partial 23S ribosomal RNA
Rfam family: Bacterial large subunit ribosomal RNA
Source: RNAcentral